CACUCACAUAACAUCUGUGAUGUCGCAAUAUCAGAACUUUAUGCAUAAACAUAAUUCCGUCCAUUGCGAUAUAACUUUGAAUACAGCGAGCGAGGUAUUUGAAUAUGGUAAUCAUGAAAACAUUUGCGAUGGCAACAAAGCAACAAAUGAUAGCCCCAUUGGGUCAAUUGAAUUUACAAAUCUUAAUGUUAGCAAUGCGUUGGAACCAGUUAUUUAUACAACUGGUUCUGAACAUGGUAACCAAGAAGCCACCCAUGGUGCAAGCGAAGCUAUUAAUGUUAGCUCUCUUGCCCCUAACGAACAGACUAAUCUUAGUGAGACCGAACGGUUAAAAUCCAAUAAUAAAAUACUAAAUGUUGAGCAAACCUCAAUGCAAGGACAUACGUUAACUUACGCAGAUAUAGUGUCAUCUUGUGAGACUGUUACAAGCAAUAAACACAAAUCUAUCUCCCAAAAAUCAUCAUGCAAAACCAAGGAGAUGUCUUGCGAUCCCGACGGCUUUAUUGGUGUGGAACGCAAGCGAAGAAAAACAAAGAAAUUCUUUCUAACUGGCAUCGCAGAAAAUGUGAAUGAAAACCAGAUCCUUUCUUAUCUAAAAAAGAAAAACAUAAUUCCAACAUAUAUAUCUAUCUUCCCCAGUCGUCGCAGAGGAGUACUCUCAUCGAAGAUUCAUG
This is a non-coding RNA of Paramuricea clavata, 674 nucleotides long. NCBI's taxonomy places the organism in Eukaryota, Metazoa, Cnidaria, Anthozoa, Malacalcyonacea, Plexauridae. The record is from the annotation of a GenBank genome assembly.